GUGCUUUCAGCAGUACAUAUACAAAAAUUGGGACAAUACAGAGAAGUUUAGCAUGGCCCCUGCUCAAGGAUGACACACAAAUUCAUGAAGCAUUCCAUAUUUUU
Molecule: small nuclear RNA, 104 nt
Organism: Neofelis nebulosa (Clouded leopard)
Lineage: Eukaryota; Metazoa; Chordata; Mammalia; Carnivora; Felidae
Source: RefSeq, a predicted model, not a curated record